AUAACAAUACAGGACUUUUUACAGGCCCUGUAAUUGGAAUGAGUCCACUUUAAAUCCUUUAACGAGGAUCUAUUGGAGGGCAAGUCUGGUGCAGAGCGUCUGACCUGUGCGUGCUGCAGCUGAAA
RNAcentral lists this ribosomal RNA (125 nucleotides) under Pelobates cultripes (western spadefoot toad). RNAcentral's name for it is "SSU_rRNA_eukarya". Lineage: Eukaryota; Metazoa; Chordata; Amphibia; Anura; Pelobatidae. The record is from RNAcentral.